Molecule: ribosomal RNA, 467 nt
Filed under: uncultured bacterium
Lineage: Bacteria
Description: partial 16S ribosomal RNA
Rfam family: Bacterial small subunit ribosomal RNA
Source: RNAcentral
GACGAACGCUGGCGGCGUGCUUAACACAUGCAAGUCGAACGGAAAGGCCCUGCUUUUGUGGGGUGCUCGAGUGGCGAACGGGUGAGUAACACGUGAGUAACCUGCCCUUGACUUUGGGAUAACUUCAGGAAACUGGGGCUAAUACCGGAUAGGAGCUCCUGCUGCAUGGUGGGGGUUGGAAAGUUUCGGCGGUUGGGGAUGGACUCGCGGCUUAUCAGCUAGUUGGUGGGGUAGUGGCUUACCAAGGCUUUGACGGGUAGCCGGCCUGAGAGGGUGACCGGCCACAUUGGGACUGAGAUACGGCCCAGACUCCUACGGGAGGCAGCAGUGGGGAAUAUUGCACAAUGGGCGGAAGCCUGAUGCAGCAACGCCGCGUGCGGGAUGACGGCCUUCGGGUUGUAAACCGCUUUCGCCUGUGACGAAGCGUGAGUGACGGUAAUGGGUAAAGAAGCACCGGCUAACUACGU